RNAcentral lists this ribosomal RNA (465 nucleotides) under uncultured Klebsiella sp. RNAcentral describes it as "bacterial SSU rRNA". It matches the Rfam family "Bacterial small subunit ribosomal RNA", at positions 338 to 795 of the family's 1533-position model. The record is from RNAcentral. Lineage: Bacteria; Pseudomonadati; Pseudomonadota; Gammaproteobacteria; Enterobacterales; Enterobacteriaceae.
CCUACGGGAGGCAGCAGUGGGGAAUAUUGCACAAUGGGCGCAAGCCUGAUGCAGCCAUGCCGCGUGUGUGAAGAAGGCCUUCGGGCUGUAAAGCACUUUCAGCGGGGAGGAAGGCGUUAAGGUUAAUAACCUUGGCGAUUGACGUUACCCGCAGAAGAAGCACCGGCUAACUCCGUGCCAGCAGCCGCGGUAAUACGGAGGGUGCAAGCGUUAAUCGGAAUUACUGGGCGUAAAGCGCACGCAGGCGGUCUGUCAAGUCGGAUGUGAAAUCCCCGGGCUCAACCUGGGAACUGCAUUCGAAACUGGCAGGCUAGAGUCUUGUAGAGGGGGGUAGAAUUCCAGGUGUAGCGGUGAAAUGCGUAGAGAUCUGGAGGAAUACCGGUGGCGGAGGCGGCCCCCUGGACAAAGACUGACGCUCAGGUGCGAAAGCGUGGGGAGCAAACAGGAUUAGAUACCCGUGUAGUC